GCAGAGUGUUGGCCUGAGGUCUCGGAGCCUGACCUGUCAGCUAGAGGUGGUGCUAGAGGCACAGAAAAGCCACUUUGUCCUUUAAAUAUCUUCGUGAGCUCUGCCUUGUGACAGCUAUGCUUUGUGCUUGGCGUCCAGGCUCCAGGAACGGUGGUGAGCAACGCAGGCUGGCCCUGCCCCAGGGGGACAUCCUCUGGAGGACACACCUAAGCCGGCAGCUCAAGGCCUGCAGCAUGUGCACUGGAAGGCAGGACUCCAGGGUGAUGAGCCGGUGCACACGAAGACGGACCACUGCAAAAGAGCAUGGGGACAGGCUGGACUCAGAGAUGUGCCUGUGGUCCAAGCUACUUGGGAGGCUGAGGAGGUGGACAUCUACACUGUCAAGGUGGGAGACCGGACGUUCACCUCCCGCUUCUGCCUGCAGGUGAAGCAGAAUGACUAUGUGCACGCCCUGGUGGCCUACUUCAAUAUCCAGUUAUAGAACUGAUAACAUCCCUUUCUCUGACUCUGCCCUCACUCUUCACUCUCUCUGGGUCUCUAACCCCCAUCUUGUGCCCUGACCCUCCUCGGUCUUUGUCUUUCCUCCUCCUUCUAGGACUCUGUCCCCCCUCAUUCCUGUGCUCCUCUGUCUGGGUCUCUGUCCGCUUCUCUGGGUGCCUGUUGCCCUCUGCUCUCUGGUUCCUCACCAUCCCGUCUCUGAUCUCCCUGGACUGAUGCAGACAUUGCUGUGUGGGCGGGACACCUCUCCUCGUCACAGGGCUCUAACAGUUUUCCCUUCCAGAAGGGCAUCCUGGCCAUUUCACCCGUGGACUUGAACUUGCCCGUGGACUGAGAUCUUCCUCAGAAGCUGCUACAAGAUUGGACCUCAUGUUGCUGCCCUCUUUGUGUACUUUUCCAAGCCUUCCUAUUCUACUCAGGGCUGUGAGGUGAUGGUUGUCCUUCCAAUUUUUGUCAAAAAUAAAUUGUUUAAAAAUUGUCAUAUUAAAAACAUUACAAAGUA
Macaca mulatta (Rhesus monkey) is the source of this 1000-nucleotide non-coding RNA. The record is from RefSeq and is a predicted model, not a curated record. Lineage: Eukaryota; Metazoa; Chordata; Mammalia; Primates; Cercopithecidae.